GCACAAGCGGUGGAUGAUGUGGAUUAAUUCGAUGCAACGCGAAGAACCUUACCUACCCUUGACAUGUCCGGAACUUGCCAGAGAUGGCUUGGUGCCCGAAAGGGAAUCGGAACACAGGUGCUGCAUGGCUGUCGUCAGCUCGUGUCGUGAGAUGUUGGGGUAAGUCCCGCAACGAGCGCAACCCUUAUCAUUAGUUGCUACGCAAGGGCACUCUAAUGAGACUGCCGGUGACAAACCGGAGGAAGGUGGGGAUGACGUCAAGUCCUCAUGGCCCUUAUGGGUAGGGCUUCACACGUCAUACAAUGGUCGGUACAGAGGGUUGCCAAGCCGCGAGGCGGAGCCAAUCCCACAAAGCCGAUCGUAGUCCGGGUUGUUCUCUGCAACUCGAGAGCAUGAAGUCGGAAUCGCUAGUAAUCGCAGGUCAGCAUACUGCGGUGAAUACGUUCCCGGGUCUU
RNAcentral lists this ribosomal RNA (455 nucleotides) under uncultured Thiobacillus sp. RNAcentral's name for it is "bacterial SSU rRNA". It matches the Rfam family "Bacterial small subunit ribosomal RNA", at positions 923 to 1382 of the family's 1533-position model. The record is from RNAcentral. Lineage: Bacteria; Pseudomonadati; Pseudomonadota; Betaproteobacteria; Nitrosomonadales; Thiobacillaceae.